AGUAGAAUGGCUGAGUAAUAAGUAAUAGAUUGUAAAUCUAUAAAGGAGAAGAAGUUCUUUUCUACUA
This 67-nucleotide transfer RNA is filed under the name Tryonicus parvus. RNAcentral's name for it is "tRNA-Tyr". It matches the Rfam family "tRNA". Rfam says of the family: Transfer RNA (tRNA) molecules are approximately 80 nucleotides in length. Their secondary structure includes four short double-helical elements and three loops (D, anti-codon, and T loops). The record is from RNAcentral. Lineage: Eukaryota; Metazoa; Arthropoda; Insecta; Blattodea; Tryonicidae.